AGAGUUUGAUCCUGGCUCAGGACGAACGCCGGCGGCGUGCUUAACACAUGCAAGUCGAACGGAAAGGCCCUUUCGGGGGUACUCGAGUGGCGAACGGGUGAGUAACACGUGGGUGAUCUGCCCUGCACUUUGGGAUAAGCCUGGGAAACUGGGUCUAAUACCGGAUAGGACUACGCGAUGCAUGUCGUGUGGUGGAAAGCUUUUGCGGUGUGGGAUGGGCCCGCGGCCUAUCAGCUUGUUGGUGGGGUGAUGGCCUACCAAGGCGACGACGGGUAGCCGGCCUGAGAGGGUGACCGGCCACACUGGGACUGAGAUACGGCCCAGACUCCUACGGGAGGCAGCAGUGGGGAAUAUUGCACAAUGGGCGCAAGCCUGAUGCAGCGACGCCGCGUGAGGGAUGACGGCCUUCGGGUUGUAAACCUCUUUCAGUGCCGACGAAGCGCAAGUGACGGUAGGCAUAGAAGAAGGACCGGCCAACUACGUGCCAGCAGCCGCGGUAAUACGUAGGGUCCGAGCGUUGUCCGGAAUUACUGGGCGUAAAGAGCUCGUAGGUGGUUUGUCGCGUUGUUCGUGAAAACUCACAGCUCAACUGUGGGCGUGCGGGCGAUACGGGCAGACUUGAGUACUGCAGGGGAGACUGGAAUUCCUGGUGUAGGGGUGGAAUGCGCAGAUAUCAGGAGGAACACCGGUGGCGAAGGCGGGUCUCUGGGCAGUAACUGACGCUGAGGAGCGAAAGCGUGGGGAGCGGACAGGAUUAGAUACCCUGGUAGUCCAA
RNAcentral lists this ribosomal RNA (775 nucleotides) under uncultured bacterium. RNAcentral describes it as "bacterial SSU rRNA". It matches the Rfam family "Bacterial small subunit ribosomal RNA", at positions 8 to 798 of the family's 1533-position model. The record is from RNAcentral.